This 1319-nucleotide long non-coding RNA is filed under the name Mus spicilegus (steppe mouse). RNAcentral's name for it is "lncRNA (ENSMSIG00000015587.1)". Lineage: Eukaryota; Metazoa; Chordata; Mammalia; Rodentia; Muridae. The record is from RNAcentral.
AUGACUUCAGCUCUGUGCCUCCUCUCCCAUCCCAAAAGCUCCACACCCACACAGGCGCAGGACAGCAGCAAAUGGUGCCAGAGCAUAUCAACUCCAAAAGCUAACCCUCAGAGCCUUGAGGAAGCAGGGCCUGCGUGGAUGCUGUGGGGUAACACACUGUGGGGAACACACUUCGUGGCUGCAGGAAGCCCUCUUCGGGAGGAAGAUGUUGAAGUUGAAGAAGGAACAUCCUUGGAUUCCUCCUCACCUAUCGCAGGAAGGAGGAUGUUAUCUCUCAGGAGUGGAACACACAGCAUGGCCCUGAUUUCCACAGUGGGACUUAUCAGCAGGACUCACCUCAUCAGGAACUCAACUCUUUCCAACAUCAGCUCAGCUGAAGACUGCUGCAGACGCCUGAAGGACCAGACUCUGUCUCUCCUCCAGUACGCCUCUCUGAGUUGCUUGAGAGCUCCCACUACAGAUCCGAAGGCCCUUCCUGCCGUCUGCAGAGAGGACCCGUGGAGGAUUCCCCUUGACUCCACCUUCUAUCUGACACAGCCUCGGAAGCUUUACGGUGUUCUGACUUGAGCACACACAGUCUGUCCCUUACCUCUGCAGGUAAGUGCCACCCGACACAAGCGCUUUCUCCUCAAACAUAGCAACCAGGAGAACCUGAAGCACUUCUCACACCGGGUACCCGAUUUGAUGCCAGCAGGCAGAGCCCCAUGCCCCCAGCCGUGGUUCUACUCCCUGCUGCUUUCUAAUAUAAACUUUCCUUGGGGACACUGUCACGGAGCCUGUGGGUCAGCCCCUACCAUGCUUGCUCAUCUCUCUAAUGAAAGUGGCUCAGAGGUCCUCCCCUUCUGCCCCUUGGAUAUUGGCUUCCCUAAGGGAGGAUCUCUGUGCAACCGUGCUCUUCCUACAGCCUGCCCCUGUCCAGCUCGCAAAAACAGAGGAAUAAGGACCCAUUGUGGCAAACCAUAGAAUACUUGGGGGACAGUCGGCCUUGAGUUCUGCACGUUCAAGAUUCAUUUGAGAGGAUCUCACCAGUUGUCGGCUCCAGAGAAAUCAAGAGCGGGUAGGGGUGUGUGGAUUAGGAUGGCAUCGACCGAAUCGGAGAAGUGAUUAUUUUAAGGAUGAAUCCAAGCCUGACUGCUGAAGUUGACUCUCAGGGCCAAGGAACCUGGACAGGAGUGAUAUGGACCUGCCAGACAAGGAGGCCCAGGCCGGGAGCUGCUGCAGAUCUCCAGUUGACUGCUGUCUGAGUGCGUGCAUGUCAGUACUUCUGCAGAUGUCCUGUUCUAGACCCCACUAAGUCCUGAUUAGAGUGUAAUUCAAAC